RNAcentral lists this small nuclear RNA (48 nucleotides) under Cervus elaphus hippelaphus. Lineage: Eukaryota; Metazoa; Chordata; Mammalia; Artiodactyla; Cervidae. The record is from RNAcentral.
UUGCUAAUUGAAAACUUUUCCUAGUACCCCUCCAUGAUAACUUGAAAU